AAUUGCUAGGGGUGCCUUAUGGCUGAGAAAUGAAUAUUAUUCAUUAACCCUUGUACCUGAACUGGAUAAUGCCAGCGUAGGAAAGCGUCUAUAUU
This 95-nucleotide non-coding RNA is filed under the name uncultured Clostridium sp. RNAcentral's name for it is "TPP riboswitch (THI element)". It matches the Rfam family "TPP riboswitch aptamer (THI element)". Rfam says of the family: Vitamin B(1) in its active form thiamin pyrophosphate (TPP) is an essential coenzyme that is synthesised by coupling of pyrimidine and thiazole moieties in bacteria. The previously detected thiamin-regulatory element, thi box was extended, resulting in a new, highly conserved RNA secondary structure, the THI element, which is widely distributed in eubacteria and also occurs in some archaea. Analysis of operon structures identified a large number of new candidate thiamin-regulated genes, mostly transporters, in various prokaryotic organisms. The record is from RNAcentral. Lineage: Bacteria; Bacillati; Bacillota; Clostridia; Eubacteriales; Clostridiaceae.